AGCUGUCGUUUUCCAGAAAGAAAAAACUCUUGGAAAUAUCUCCUUUGAAAACCAGCCUCUGGAGAAGAUCAAACGUCGAGUGUAAAAAGGUUCUCUUCUCAUAAUUCUAUAGUCUAUCUGGCCUCCGUCAUCACCAUCCUCCGCCUCUGUAAUCUCCGACCCAUCAUUUCUCUGACCAGGGUAAGUAUUGUUCUCCAUUUUUAAUCCCAUUUUUGCCAGAAUAUGCGCAUGCUCAUUAACUGUUCGCCUUACAUGUCGAAAAUAAAAAUUAAAAAAAUUAAAGAAUAUAUAAAGAAAGUUAAAAUUUUAAAAAAUUAAAAUAAUAAUUUUGACACUUAAAUAAAUUAAUUAGUGAUUCAAGUUUAUUAUAUUAAAGUAUAUUAUUUUUUUAUUAUUUUAUUUUGAAAAUCAAAUUUAAAAAAAGAAUUCACUCAAUUCAAUUGAAGAUUCACCCUAAUAUUGAGGAUUUGUUUAUGCAGAGUCUGGAGCUGUUGGGAUUACAGAAAUCUAUCCAAACUCUAUAGUGUAUAUAUAAGAAUUUGUGUUUGGAUCACUUGCGAGUUUAGGAUCACAAAAAAAAGGUGGAUUUAGUUGGAGACGAACAUUUCAAUGCUUUAAUUAGUACAAUCUUGUCUUUAAUUUGCCUUCAACUUCACCGUAAUGAAAGAUUAAGAUUUAAGAGUUGAGAUUUGCGAAUAAAUAAAUAAAACGACAACGAGUAAACUUUUAUUUAAUUCUCUUUUUCAAUUGUAUAUAAAUUAGUUUGUUUAAAAAAUAAAUGCGAGUGAAAAUAUUUAUAUAAUAAUUUUUUUAAAAAUUUGAUAAAAAUCAAAUAUGACUUUAGUUCAAAAUGGUAAAAUAUUUUGGUAAAAAAAUAUGAUAAUUUAGGUUUAAAUUUUGUGAUUUUCAUUAUACCCGUGCAGUAAUAUUUGUUGUUUUGUAAAAGAAAUAAAUUUUAGAUAAAUUUUUAAUGGCUUAAGGGUACAUAAAGUCUUUGAAUUUAUUCAAAGAAAUCAAACUAAGUCUUUACUCUUUUUUACACUCAAUUCCAAUCUUGAAUUGAAAAAAUUUGCUCAACUCAACUAGGUUUUUAAUUGUUAACUUUAAUAGUUGACCAUUAAAAUUUAACGGUUCCAUUUCUUAAAAUUUUUAGGUUAUAUUUGUCGCAUGGCAUAAUUGUAUCAUGCCGCAAAGAAAAUGAUAUUUUGUUUUUAAUUUGUCAAAGAAUAUUACCAAAUCAUAAUAAUUAUAAAUAUAUAUAAAUUAAUAAAAAUAUAAAAAUAUAUAGUUCUUUAAAAAAAUAUUAUUAACUAAUAGAAAAUUGUAAAAAAUUACAAAUAUAUAAAAAUAACACAUAAUUAUAACAUGAUAAAAAUACAAAAAAAAAUUAUAAAAGAAAAUGAUAUUCUUGUUUGGUUGGGUUGAUACUCGCGUAUCGUAUUAUUGAGUUGGGACAUAAUUGAUGGGUGAUGCCAACUCAACCAAUCACUUAUGUCUUGUUUGGUUGGGUUGAUACUCACAUAUCGUAUUAUUUAAUACGUCAGUAUUACGUAACAUGAAAAUAACCAUGUGUUUGGUAGAGAUGUAAAUUAAUACAUCAUUUUUUUUAUACACAAGUUGGGUGAUAUUUAUCACUGAUGUAGAGGUAGUAUUUAUUUAACACAAAGUGUUUUGUGAGUUGAUUCUUGUUUUUUUCAAUUAUAUCCUCAUAUAAUUAAAUAAAUUACAACUUUUAUCCUUGCUCUAAAAUUUCUCAAAUUUACCAAAAUCUCUCUGAACUGAUGGAAGAAGGAUAGUGGCUGAUGACAUUGGAAUAUCCAGAAAAAUAAAUAUGAAGAAUCAUUAAAGCUGUUAAAAAAGAUAGCUGAUAUAGAAUUUGAUGAUUAUCCAUUACACAUAAUUGAUGAAAUCAGAAACACAUGGGAAACUUGGAAUUCACCAAGACUGUCACCAGAAUCUCUACACUUGGAUGAGAUAGAAACUUGGAACCUUGACAAUAUCCAAGAAGGAUAAAGACAAAAUAACGAUCACUUGGAGAUUCAAAAAGAUUUUCAAGAUUGACAGUAAUUUGAAAAUCAAGGCAUUCAUGUAUAAACAAAGAUAUGAUGGGAGAACUGACAAGAUACGUGGAAGCAAUAAUAAAUUCAUCCUUAUCAGAAACACUGUUCAGGAUUGAAGAAAAAAUUAAAUGGAGUUUAGAAAUUUUGCUAUAAAUAGAAAUGUAAGAAGCCUAAACAGGGCAUCGAAAAAUAGCUUAGAAAUCUUUUCUUUUACUUUCAGUAUUCUCUCUUUGUAAACACUCUCUCUUUGUAAAAACCUUCCUUUUACUAUUAAUAAAAUACUUAUCUUCACUAAAAUUAUCUUCUAGAACCAAUGGAUAUUGAACAGAUAGAUCCUUAUGGUAAAAGAAAAAUAGAAUCAGAUAUUCAAAAAGAUGAUUAUCUGAGAGCUUUAAAUAAAGAUUUUGAGACAGUUGAAAAUACAACUAGGAUUUUUGGUAAUCAAACCGAAAAUAUAACUACUAAUGAAAUUAAAACCGAAUAUACAGGAGAAUCUUCUAAUCAACAACCAGGUCAAACUAUACCUAUACCACAUAGGAUAGAUGAUUUAAAUAAAAGAAAUGUGGCCCAAGGUGGAAUAUAUUUAGACCUAACUAAUAUUUCAAUAUCAGACUAUGAAAAAACUAUAGAUGAUUGGGCACAGUCAAUGACAAUUGUUG
Molecule: long non-coding RNA, 2719 nt
Filed under: Gossypium barbadense (sea-island cotton)
Lineage: Eukaryota; Viridiplantae; Streptophyta; Magnoliopsida; Malvales; Malvaceae
Description: long non-coding RNA (GBAR_LNC011897)
Source: RNAcentral